ACAGAGGGUUAAGGACCCACAGCAACGGUCCAACACCUCAUCUUCCUCCAACGGAAACAAUUGUCUUCCCUCUUUCAUUUCCACCCGCCCUCACCAAGACCUCAACCCAACCGUUUCAUCUCCACCACCGUUACAUUACUAUAUAAAGCCAAAUUAAACAAUCUUCUGUAACAAACGCACUACACUUUAUGCUUUCUUUAAUACAAUGAUGAUGACUCACUUUAAAAGUCUAUUAUAUUCCGAGUUUGAUUUUUGAAAGAACCAAAGCUGCUUUUAAGAACUGUUUUUUCAUACAUUGAGAAGCAAGAUUCCCAAAUUGAAUACAACAUUAAGAUGAUACCAAGAAAAAGAAGAGAAGCAAUUAUGCAAGAGAUGCUAUGCUAUGGCUCUCUAGUUCUUUGAUUUUAUUUACAAGCAGCAUGUGGAUCAAUCCAACUUUAUUCUACGCCGAAGUUUUAUUAAGAAUGCUUCAGUUUGCUGCUCAGGAUGCUAAGGCCUAAGGUUGCAUACACCAGAGAAACUAGCCUACGCCGAGAUAGUGACAAACGGAUUUUAUUUACAAGUAGCUUGUGAAUCAACCCAACUUUAAUCUACGCCGAGAUUUUAUUAAGAAUACUUCAGUUUGCUGCUCAGGAUGAUAAGGCCUAAGGUUGCAUACACCAGAGAUACUAGUCUACUCUGCUAAUGUGGCACAAAAAGGGAAGUUGCAUGCUAGGAGAUAACUAUAAUGAGGUACUUUAAUCAUGUCAAGUGUAGUGAAUCUGAAAUACGAAGUAUCAUGAAAAAGGAAACUGAAAUUCUGGACUAAAAUGAAAAUAUCAUAACAUUUAACUCUGAACAACAAGUAGCUUAAAGAAGCUACUGAUAGAAAGUAGUACAACUUAUAUAGAACCUCAUUUUUUAUGUUACAAGCAAAGGAUGAGAAGUUGUGGGAAUCAAGUAAAGAUCACCUUUUCUUGACAUAGUAGCUCCAAACUCUUCUUUCAACUCUAAUUCCUCAUUUUUCAUUCCAUUAGGAAGCCUCCAAUCAAAAUGAUACAAUAAAAGUGCAAGGACAUGUUCGACACUUACCAUACCAUAAUUCAUACCUGGACAAAUUCUCCUUCCAGCACCAAAUGGAAUGUACUCAAAAUGAGUUCCUCUGUAAUCAAUAGAGCUAUCAAUAAACCUUUCAGGAUAAAACUUAUCUGGGUCAGUCCAAUAUUUCGGAUCCCUUCCAAUGGCCCAAGCAUUUACUAGGACUCUACUUUUGACAGGUAUGUGAUAGCCAUUGAUCUCACAAACUUGUCCACACUCCCUUGGAACAAGGAGAGGAACAGUAGGGUGUAAUCUUAGUGACUCUUUCGUUAUGGCUUUCAAAUAUUUGAACUCAUCAAUUGCAGCUUCAUCAACCAUUCCUCUUCUUUUGAACCCCUCCCUCACUUCAGCUUGUGCUUUCUUAAAAACUCUUGGAUCUUUUAUCAUCUCAGCCAUUGCCCAAUUAAUCGUAGUUGAUGCAGUCUCACUUCCCGCAGAGAAGACAUCCUGAAAAUUUAAAAACUUCGUCAUUUAACUUACUUCAAACUUGAAAGACCUAUAUCAUAUAUUAAAAUUUGGUUGCCAGUAACUUCAUGUUGGGGGUGAAAUUGCAGAUGCGGACCGAAAUUUAAAACCAUGCAUGUUAUUUAUUGGGGGUGGGGGAUAACCUUGAUAAAAUAGCAUACCAAUAUUACUUGCAUGCAUGGUAUCUCAAUUUAUCUAAAGAAACAUAAAUUGCAUACCAAUAUUAUGGCCUUAAUAUUAUCAGAAGUUAAAUGAAAAUCCAUGUCACUGUCAUUGUCCUCAAAUUUUAAAAGACAAUCAAUCAGAUCUUCCUCUGCUUCAGCCAAACCUUGUUUAGUUCUUCUUGAUCUCAUCUCCUUAUGGUCAUUGAUGAUAUGUUCUAGUAUCCUAUCUACUUGUUGGCUUAACUUCUCAAGCUUAGGCCUCAUUCCAGAGAGAUUUUGAAUCCAUUUAGCUGAAGGAAACAAGUCACCAAUGUAGAACCCUCCAGCAAGUUUUAUAAGUUUCUUUAUAACUGAUAUGAAAUCUUUUGGUUCCAAAUAUUUCUUACCAAACGCCGCCUUUGAAGUGAAUGUAUACAUCAUUGAAAUAAGUUCUUGAGUAAGAUUGAUUUCUGAUCCUUCAUUUGAGGCAAUCUUUUUUAACAUAGAACUAAUCUCAUUCUCUCUUAUUGGCCAAAGUGAUUUGACCCUUUUUGAGCUCAAAAGCUCAAUAGAACAAAUCUUUCUAAGUUGUCUCCAGUAAUCACCAUAAGGUGAAAAAGCUAUAUCUGUUGAAUUAUAACAUGUUAUCUCCCCUACUAGAAGAUGAGGCCUUGAUGCAAAGAUAGUGUCAUGGGUUUUCAGAACUUCUCUAGCAACUUCUGGUGAGGAAACAACAACAAAGAAGACCUCACCAAGUUGUAGAUGCAUCAAGGGUCCAUAUAUUUUGGAUAAAUCUCUUAAUUUUUUAGGUGGGUUUGUUGUAACAAGAUUCAGAAUAUUUCCUAUAAUGGGUAGUUUACAUGGACCUGGGGGUAUAUUUUUUGUACUUGAAUUAUAUUUUUUGUUAUGAUUCCUAAUUUUUAGUGCAA
Trifolium pratense (red clover) is the source of this 2614-nucleotide long non-coding RNA. RefSeq lists it as uncharacterized. The transcript has 4 exons. The record is from RefSeq and is a predicted model, not a curated record. NCBI's taxonomy places the organism in Eukaryota, Viridiplantae, Streptophyta, Magnoliopsida, Fabales, Fabaceae.